This 87-nucleotide transfer RNA is filed under the name Spirochaetota bacterium. RNAcentral describes it as "Spirochaetes bacterium (marine sediment metagenome) tRNA-Ser". It matches the Rfam family "tRNA". From Rfam's summary of the family: Transfer RNA (tRNA) molecules are approximately 80 nucleotides in length. Their secondary structure includes four short double-helical elements and three loops (D, anti-codon, and T loops). Lineage: Bacteria; Pseudomonadati; Spirochaetota. The record is from RNAcentral.
GGAGAGGUGCGAGAGCGGCUGAAUCGGGCUCCCUGCUAAGGAGUUGUGCUCUUACGGGUACCGUGGGUUCGAAUCCCACCCUCUCCG